RNAcentral lists this ribosomal RNA (376 nucleotides) under uncultured bacterium. RNAcentral's name for it is "bacterial SSU rRNA". It matches the Rfam family "Bacterial small subunit ribosomal RNA", at positions 518 to 898 of the family's 1533-position model. The record is from RNAcentral.
CGGUAAUACGGAGGAUCCAAGCGUUAUCCGGAAUCAUUGGGUUUAAAGGGUCCGUAGGCGGUUUAGUAAGUCAGUGGUGAAAGCCCAUCGCUCAACGGUGGAACGGCCAUUGAUACUGCUAAACUUGAAUUAUUAGGAAGUAACUAGAAUAUGUAGUGUAGCGGUGAAAUGCUUAGAGAUUACAUGGAAUACCAAUUGCGAAGGCAGGUUACUACUAAUGGAUUGACGCUGAUGGACGAAAGCGUGGGUAGCGAACAGGAUUAGAUACCCUGGUAGUCCACGCCGUAAACGAUGGAUACUAGCUGUUGGGCGCAAGUUCAGUGGCUAAGCGAAAGUGAUAAGUAUCCCACCUGGGGAGUACGUUCGCAAGAAUGAA